Gossypium raimondii (Peruvian cotton) is the source of this 145-nucleotide non-coding RNA. NCBI's taxonomy places the organism in Eukaryota, Viridiplantae, Streptophyta, Magnoliopsida, Malvales, Malvaceae. The record is from Rfam.
UGUUAAAAUUUUUAUUUAUUUGUAUUAUUAAAAACCGGUGUGACUAAUGGAAUAAUUAGAAAGUGACACAUGACAUGCCACAUGUACCUUACACUAAUAUACAAAGACCAAUUUUUAAUAGUAGAAUUGGAUGAAAUUUUUAAUA